GCCUGGAUAGCUCAGUUGGUUAGAGCAUGGUGCUGACAACACCAAGGUUGCAGGUUCGAUCCCUGUAUGGGACA
Molecule: transfer RNA, 74 nt
Filed under: Podarcis lilfordi (Lilford's wall lizard)
Lineage: Eukaryota; Metazoa; Chordata; Lepidosauria; Squamata; Lacertidae
Description: tRNA.Val
Rfam family: tRNA (bases 8-66)
About the family: Transfer RNA (tRNA) molecules are approximately 80 nucleotides in length. Their secondary structure includes four short double-helical elements and three loops (D, anti-codon, and T loops).
Source: RNAcentral